GACGAACGCUGGCGGCGUGCUUAACACAUGCAAGUCGAACGAUAAAGCCCCUUCGGGGGUGAUUAAAGUGGCGAACGGGUGAGUAACGCGUGGGCAACCUGCCCCAAAGCGGGGGACAACCCAGGGAAACUUGGGCUAAUACCGCAUAAAGUAGCACGGAGGCAUCUUCGAGCUACAAAAGGAGCAAUCCACUUUGGGAUGGGCCCGCGUAGGAUUAGCUUGUUGGUGAGGUAACGGCUCACCAAGGCAACUAUCCUUAGCCGGCCUGAGAGGGCGAUCGGCCACACUGGGACUGAGACACGGCCCAGACUCCUACGGGAGGCAGCAGUGGGGAAUUUUGCGCAAUGGGGGAAACCCUGACGCAGCAACGCCGCGUGAAGGAUGAAGGCUUUCGAGUUGUAAACUUCUGUUUCGGGGGACGAAGAAGUGACGGUACCCCGGCAGCAAGCCCCGGCUAACUCCGUG
Molecule: ribosomal RNA, 465 nt
Filed under: uncultured bacterium
Lineage: Bacteria
Description: bacterial SSU rRNA
Rfam family: Bacterial small subunit ribosomal RNA
Source: RNAcentral